GCUCAGUUGGUUAAAUGUCUGACCCUUGACCUCGGCUCAGGUCAUGAUCUCACGGUUCGUGGGUUCAAGCCCCACAUUGAGCU
RNAcentral lists this transfer RNA (83 nucleotides) under Felis catus (domestic cat). The record is from Rfam by way of RNAcentral. Lineage: Eukaryota; Metazoa; Chordata; Mammalia; Carnivora; Felidae.